UGACAGAAGAUACACUUGGAAUGCUCAUAGAAGCCAAAAAAAAAGGAGUAGUUUCCACACUCCAAGCAGCACUUCAGCUGUGUCCUGUGAAAUAUUUUACAGUAUCCCUGGUCAGCUUCUGUUAUGUUUUGGAUAUGUGAUAUCUUCCAAAAUCUCAUGUGUGAGACAUCGCAAAAAAUGUUUAGAGGUAAAACAAAUAGAUUUGAAAGCCUUAACCUAAUCAAUGUAUUAGUCUGUUUGAAUGGAUUAACUAGGUGGUAACAAUAGGCAGGUAGUAUGUGGCUAGAGGAGGUAAGUCAUUGGGAGCAAGCCUUUGGAGUAUAGAUUUUGCCUAUGGUGAGUGGUGCUCUCUACUUUCUGGUGCCAUGUCCUGAGCCACUUUCUUCCACCACACUCUUCCAUCAUAAUGAUCUGCCUCACCUUGGGCCCAGAGCAAUGGAGCCUGCUGCAUAUGGACUGAGACCUCUGAAACUGUGAGCCUUAAAUAAACUUUUCCUCCUCUAAAAUUGUUCUUAUCAGGUCUUUUGAUCCCAGCAGAAGAAAAGCUGACUAAAACAGCUUCCUUUGUCAUAUCUCACAGAAAAUGAUUCCAACUCUUCACAAUCUUUAUGCCACCAAGCUAUUGCUAUUCUUCUUUUCUUACUUCAUGAAGAGUAUUAAGAUCACCUAGUAUUCCCUGAACUUCCCACACCCAUACUUACUUACUUGUCUAUAGUCCCCCAUAACUUCUUUCCUACAGUCUAAGAAAAUGAUGAACACCAUGUUGGUGCUAGUCUGUUUGUACUGUUAUACCAUUACAUUCAUCUUUGUUGGGAUCUUAUUCCAGAAAAACAAAAUAUAUACCUAUACCUCCUGUAUUUUACCUUCUUGCCCAUCUCCCCCCAGCUUUUUAUUUUUAUAAUUUGCAAGUACAAUGGCUGAAAGAAUACUACAGUGAUACAGCAUCUAAUCAAUUAUGUUUAAAUUCUGCCUUUUCUAUAUGCUUAUUUCCCCCUCCCUCUCCCUCUCCCUCCCUCUCUGUGUCUGUGUGUGUACACACAUAUACAUAUAUGUGUAUAUGUUUUUGCUGGUCUGUUUAAAGAUAAGCUACAGCUCUCCUGGAUCACAAGUUUGAUCUGAUGUAUGCCAAAUGUGCUUUUG
This 1140-nucleotide long non-coding RNA is filed under the name Marmota monax (woodchuck). The record is from RNAcentral. Lineage: Eukaryota; Metazoa; Chordata; Mammalia; Rodentia; Sciuridae.